GUGGGAGGAGUUUUAUCUGCAAUCCACUGAUAUUGUGCUUCGGCGGCUCGAGGCGUGCCUCAGACGCAGAGUUGAGAGGAGCGCGCGCACCGCGGGAGCGAGGGUCACGUACGCGGAGCGAGACAAUGAAAAAGCGGUACGUCGCUGUGUCGGAAACAGGACGACGCGGCACAGGUUCGCCCCCUGCUUUGGUCACGUGGCCACUUGAAGACCCUCAUUCAUGGUGAUGUGGAUGCAGUCAUGCGGAAAACAUGGGAGGUCCGAGUCACAGCUCCUCCCAGAGUCGUAAACUCCCCGCAGUGAAGGAAGAUGAACCAUUACUGUGCUUACAUGGCUUCAGGUACAGUUGUGCUUUUCCCCCUUGAUCAAUUCCAACAUCGGUCUCAUCCAAACUCUUUCAUUUCACAGGGUAUUGUUCUGAGACUGUUCACAUUCAUUCAUAAUGGUUCACCAAUACAAUGGGUGCACAGUGAAAACAGAAAUGAAAGAAAUGUUCCUAUCCAUGUCACAUACAGUCAUCUCCUGAUCCAAGGUUCUGGAACCCUGAAGACUGGAGGGGUGUACCUGGUACAGUUACAGUGAGAAGCUCAAUCAUGUGAGCAGCUGUCAUACUUGGAGAAAAGCCAGUGAAAGUGUUGUUUUUUUAGGGGUGAAAAGGCUGCAGAAUGCCCCCCUCCUCCUCAGAUGACUACUGCCUCUGUCAGAUGGAGGGGAUGGAUCUCAAAUCCCUCCUUGCUGAUGGUUCCUGCCCAGGGGACUGCAGCCUUCAGACCUGGGCAGGAGUAACACCAGGUUGUGUUCCACUCUCUGCUGCUCUCUUCUCAUUUGUCCCACUCCAGGGGAGCUUCCCUGGAGUCUGCUGUAUGGGAGGGAGAAGUGGGAAGUUGUCUGUCCGUCUAUCCAUCUGUCCAGCUUGUCAACGAGAACACACUGCCAACGAGACUUAUCAUCUGAAGAGCUGUCUAAAUGCAAUAUUUGCCUUCUCAAGUCAACCAGAAAGGGCCUUUUUUGGAGGUUUGGGAGUUUUUAUCCUGGGGUGAAGUCCCAAAGAUGUAUAGCAAGGGGUUGCUGUGAUGCUGAGGAGGAUCAUGCUGCCUUGUCUCCUAGGAGGGUCAGGAAGGUCUGCUACCUAUGGAGAAGGAACCAAGGCUGCACCCCCUCCCCCCACCUCCCUGCAGUCAUCAUAAAAGACAAGCACAUGCCCCAGGGGCCAGGACACCGGCUCCCAGGAUGUCAGUGAUGCACAACCAGACUCAGCCCUGUGCCACUUUGACCCCAGUCUUAAUCUGAAUAUUUAUUCCAAUAUUAUGCAUAGCAGCUGUAUUAGUGGGGCUAAAUAUGGGGAGGUGAACCAUGAUAGAGCUUUAUUGAAGUGAGAGAGAGAGAGCAAAAGGCGGUGUGAUGUUGAGAAGGACAGGCCUUUAAAAUUAGAACCACACACAAGCCUUGGAAGGCAAAUUCAUGAAACAUACUGGCAGUGAAGGAUGCGUGGACCUCAUUUUUCAGCCUAAGGUGAUGACCACAAACAUUUAAGGCAGACUGGAAUACAGCAACUGAUUUACUCCCACCACAGUCAUGUAUAAUCAUUGAUAUUGAAAGGUAUGUUGAUUUACCAAUGGUAACCUUCUAAAGGCACUUACUUGACAAAAUACUGAAAUUUUCAAGGUAUCUGAAUUGAGAUGCAGUAAGUUGACAUGUCAUAUUCCCCUCAGGCUGACUGUAAUCUGGUGUGAAGGGAAAAUGAGAGGAGGGUGGGAUUUGAGAUGCAGGGAGAAUGGAUGCUUGCUGAGUGGGGUUUGAGAUGCCAUGGGUGAGAGCUCCAUAUUCUAACCCCAAAUGUGCACAGGUCACUCGUUCCGAGGGUCUACAGGAAUGGUCGGGCCGGCUUCACUGCUUGUGAAUGAUUUAGAGAGGUGUUUGAAAUUGUAGAAUGUGGUUAUGGAACGAUAGAACCAGUUUCAUUCACAGUGCAUGUGACACAGCGACACAGGUAACUGUUUACCUUUUAGACCAUCUCUGUUAUAGGUGUGUGGGGGCUUGUUUAGGAUAUGCAUGGAAAUAACAUGAUUCUUCAGAUGACUCGUCUGUUUCUAUACCUGGACCAGCUAACCCCUUAUUGUGUGACUUGUUAUGUACGCAGAUGCCUAACUAUCUAACCUAUUAACUUUCUGCUUGUUCUGUUAACCUACAAUACUAACACUGCACACUAACUAAACUACUGCUGUGAUGUUCUUUUACUGCUAAUACCUGCUAGCAACCUUUCUUCCUCUGGCUGUUCUCUAUUUCCAAACCCUUAACAAGACUGCUAACAGUGCUGUUUUACUCUGUACUAAUAUGUGAAAUGCUGGAUGGCCUCAGUGUGCUGACUGCCUGUUUGACUGUGUAUGGUAAGGGAGCUUUGCUCUGUGUUUUUUGUCUUGUGGUACGUGCAUGCAAGAGCUCCUUCUGUAGCCUUGACGACUUCACAUGGGCAUUUUUUCAACUAACAAACACUGGAAACUGUACUAACUUAUACUAACAGAUUAACCAGUUUAAACUAAAGUUGACAAGAUAAUCAGCCAAGCUGUCAGACUCUGUGAGCAAUUCCUUGUCUUCUCUUUACUUCAUCACUGCUCUUACCUGUAUGUGUGUUUGUGUGUAGAUAUAAUGCGAGGUGUGUAAAUUUGUCUGUGUGGAUGAGGUUUCUGUUACAGAAUCUUUGAUCUGUUGGUGCGUGCUUGAAUGUCUUGAGUUACACUACCUGUUAUUUUGCCUGUCGUUUUCUUGUCUACCCGUGCAACCCACUCAUUGUGCGCGCAGCAACGCUUCACAAAAACGUAAAUCAUUCUCUUCUGGCACCCUCGAAUGACAGAUUAACGAAA
Scleropages formosus (Asian bonytongue) is the source of this 2861-nucleotide long non-coding RNA. RefSeq lists it as uncharacterized. The record is from RefSeq and is a predicted model, not a curated record. Lineage: Eukaryota; Metazoa; Chordata; Actinopteri; Osteoglossiformes; Osteoglossidae. The transcript has 4 exons.